UCGGCCUCUGCCCCGCGGGGCUUCACCGCGCCAAAGCACUCACCUCGGCUGGGCUGCGCUCCCCGCGGGCCUGCGCCGAGCCCGAUAAAUGGUAUGCUAUGACUAGAGGGACAAGGAUGCUGAAGCCAGUUGGAUUACUACAUCCUGCCUCAGAUGAAUUAGCUGACUAGAGGCCUGAAGAUUCUGCCAUCCCAAGCUGCUGGUGAAAUACCAGAUAGCCUUUAAGGAGACAUGUCUGUCAAUUAAGGGAGAUCUGCUUGGAUGCUAGCUUCUCAAGUUUUCAAUAGAACAUCAGUUUGAGUUUGGUUU
This is a non-coding RNA of Myodes glareolus (Bank vole), 309 nucleotides long. NCBI's taxonomy places the organism in Eukaryota, Metazoa, Chordata, Mammalia, Rodentia, Cricetidae. The record is from RefSeq and is a predicted model, not a curated record.